Molecule: ribosomal RNA, 253 nt
Filed under: uncultured bacterium
Lineage: Bacteria
Description: partial 16S ribosomal RNA
Rfam family: Bacterial small subunit ribosomal RNA
Source: RNAcentral
UACGGAGGGUGCAAGCGUUAUCCGGAUUCACUGGGUUUAAAGGGAGCGCAGGCGGAUUGGUAAGUCAGUGGUGAAAUACCUGAGCUUAACUCGGGAACUGCCAUUGACACUACUGGUCUUGAAUAUUGUUGAGGUAUGCGGAAUGGGUCAUGUAGCGGUGAAAUGCAUAGAUAUGACCCGGAACACCAAUUGCGAAGGCAGCAUGCUAAACAAAGAUUGACGCUGAGGCUCGAAAGCGUGGGGAUCAAACAGG